Molecule: long non-coding RNA, 1025 nt
Filed under: Homo sapiens (human)
Lineage: Eukaryota; Metazoa; Chordata; Mammalia; Primates; Hominidae
Description: non-protein coding lnc-ZNF785-2:1
Source: RNAcentral
GCUCCAGGGACCUGGCGGCCGCCGAUCGGGGCUGCGAGGCCCCAUGGCGCCGCCCCCAGCCCCGCUCCUGGCGCCGAGGCCCGGGGAGACCCGGCCUGGUUGCAGGAAGCCCGGGACUGUGAGCUUCGCGGACGUGGCCGUGUACUUCUCCCCGGAGGAGUGGGGCUGUCUGCGGCCCGCGCAGAGGGCUCUGUACCGGGACGUGAUGCAGGAGACCUACGGCCACCUGGGCGCGCUCGGUGAGAGCCCCGGGUCCGAGCCCCCUCCUCCUUCACCGGGUUCACAGGGGAGAUGAUGUAGAAGGGCCGAGAGGACUGUGAGCCCUAAUCCCGCACUCUUGCACCAACACCAGCAGCCACCUCCCGUUCCCAGGGCUUCAGGUACCCCCUCGGGAGUGUUUUCACCCGCAUCCAUUUCAUUCAGGCAGCAGCACUGCAGCCCCUUCCAGGUUGAGUAUAAGCUCCGAGGGGGUGCCCUCAGCCUGGAGGGGAAUGCCAUCUUCCCACGAUGGCCUCUCAGGCCCGCGCUGUGAUCCCUGUUCUCUCCCAGGAUUCCCAGGCCCCAAACCAGCCCUCAUCUCUUGGAUGGAACAGGAGAGUGAGGCUUGGAGCCCCGCCGCCCAGGAUCCUGAGAAGGGGGAAAGACUGGGAGGAGCUCGGAGAGGAGAUGUCCCAAACAGGAAGGAAGAGGAACCGGAGGAAGUCCCAAGAGCCAAAGGGCCUAGAAAGGCUCCUGUGAAGGAGAGUCCUGAAGUGCUGGUGGAACGCAACCCUGACCCAGCUAUUAGCGUGGCCCCGGCACGGGCACAGCCACCCAAAAAUGCUGCCUGGGACCCGACCACAGGAGCACAGCCCCCGGCACCCAUACCCAGCAUGGAUGCUCAGGCCGGCCAGCGGCGCCACGUGUGCACGGACUGCGGCCGCCGCUUCACCUACCCCUCACUGCUGGUCAGCCACAGGCGCAUGCACUCGGGGGAGCGGCCUUUCCCCUGCCCCGAGUGUGGCAUGCGCUUCAAGAGGAAGUUC